RNAcentral lists this ribosomal RNA (476 nucleotides) under uncultured bacterium. Its description in RNAcentral is "bacterial SSU rRNA". It matches the Rfam family "Bacterial small subunit ribosomal RNA", at positions 23 to 507 of the family's 1533-position model. The record is from RNAcentral.
CUCAGGAUGAACGCUAGCUACAGGCUUAACACAUGCAAGUCGAGGGAAACGAUAUUGGAGCUUGCUUCCGAUAGGCGUCGACCGGCGCACGGGUGAGUAACGCGUAUCCAACCUGCCACCACUUGGGGAUAACCUUGCGAAAGCAAGCCUAAUACCCGAUACGCUUCAUAGAUGGCAUCUGAAAUGAAGUAAAGGUUUACGGUUAUGGAUGGCCUCGCGUCUGAUUAGCUGGUUGGUGAGGUAACGGCCCACCAAGGCGACGAUCAGUAGCCGGUCUGAGAGGAUGAACGGCCACAUUGGGACUGAGAUACGGCCCAGACUCCUACGGGAGGCAGCAGUGGGGAAUAUUGGGCAAUGGGGGAAACCCUGACCCAGCAACGCCGCGUGAAGGAAGAAGGCCUUCGGGUUGUAAACUUCUUUUAGCAGGGACGAAGGACGUGACGGUACCUGCAGAAAAAGCAACGGCUAACUACGUG